GCAUGCCUGUUCGAGCGUCAUUACAACCCUCAAGCCUGGCUUGGUAUUGGGCUUCGCCACUAACCUGGCGGGCCUUAAAAUCAGUGGCGGUGCCUCCGAGGCCCUGAGCGCAGUAAAUAUCCUCGCUAUAGGGACCCGGUGGUUACUGGCCAGCAACCCCAACUUUCUAAGUUUGACCUCGGAUCAGGUAGGGAUACCCGCUGAACUUAAGCAUAUCAAUAAGCGGAGGAAAAGAAACCAACAGGGAUUGCCUCAGUAACGGCGAGUGAAGCGGCAACAGCUCAAAUUUGAAAUCUGGCUCUUUCAGGGUCCGAGUUGUAAUUUGUAGACAGCUCUUUGGGUGUGGCUCCGGUNUAAGUUCCUUGGAACAGGACGUCAUAGAGGGUGAGAAUCCCGUAUGUGACUGGCCGCCUUCGCCCGUGUAAAGCUCUUUCGACGAGUCGAGUUGUUUGGGAAUGCAGCUCAAAAUGGGUGGUAAAUUUCAUCUAAAGCUAAAUAUUGGCCAGAGACCGAUAGCGCACAAGUAGAGUGAUCGAAAGAUGAAAAGCACUUUGGAAAGAGAGUUAAACAGUACGUGAAAUUGUUGAAAGGGAAGCGCUUGCAACCAGACUUGCGCGCAGUUAAUCAUCUGGUGUUCUCACUGGUGCACUUUUCUGCGUUCAGGCCAGCAUCGGUUCAGGUGGUGGGAUAAAGGCCUUGGGAAUGUAGCUUCUUUCGGGGAGUGUUAUAGCCCUCGGUGCAAUGCCGCCUUCUGGACCGAGGACCGCGUUGGGUUAGAUGCAGCGUAAGUGAACUACAAAACCCGC
Molecule: ribosomal RNA, 806 nt
Filed under: ericoid mycorrhizal sp. PPO-1
Lineage: Eukaryota; Fungi; Ascomycota; Leotiomycetes; Helotiales
Description: eukaryotic LSU rRNA
Rfam family: Eukaryotic large subunit ribosomal RNA (bases 174-806)
Source: RNAcentral